RNAcentral lists this ribosomal RNA (468 nucleotides) under uncultured bacterium. Its description in RNAcentral is "partial 16S ribosomal RNA". It matches the Rfam family "Bacterial small subunit ribosomal RNA", at positions 28 to 507 of the family's 1533-position model. The record is from RNAcentral.
GAUGAACGCUGGCGGCGUGCUUAACACAUGCAAGUCGAACGGAAAGGCCCUGCUUUUGUGGGGUGCUCGAGUGGCGAACGGGUGUGUAACACGUGAGUAACCUGCCCUUGACUUUGGGAUAACUUCAGGAAACUGGGGCUAAUACCGGAUAGGAGCUCCUGCCGCAUGGUGGGGGUUGGAAAGUUUCGGCGGUUGGGGAUGGACUCGCGGCAUAUCAGCUUGUUGGUGGGGUAGUGGCUUACCAAGGCUUUGACGGGUAGCCGGCCUGAGAGGGUGACCGGCCACAUUGGGACUGAGAUACGGCCCAGACUCCUACGGGAGGCAGCAGUGGGGAAUAUUGCACAAUGGGCGGAAGCCUGAUGCAGCGACGCCGCGUGCGGGAUGACGGCCUUCGGGUUGUAAACCGCUUUCGCCUGUGACGAAGCGUGAGUGACGGUAAUUGGUAAAGAAGCACCGGCUAACUACGUG